This 254-nucleotide ribosomal RNA is filed under the name uncultured bacterium. RNAcentral describes it as "partial 16S ribosomal RNA". It matches the Rfam family "Bacterial small subunit ribosomal RNA", at positions 524 to 776 of the family's 1533-position model. The record is from RNAcentral.
UACGUAGGCAGCAAGCGUUUGUUCGGAAUUACUGGGCGUAAAGAGUGUGUAGGCGGUGUUCUAAGUUUGUCGUGAAAUCUCCCGGCUUAACUGGGAGGGUGCGGCGAAAACUGGAAUGCUAGAGGAUGGGAGAGGUAAGCGGAAUUCCUGGUGUAGCGGUGAAAUGCGUAGAUAUCAGGAGGAACACCUGUGGUGUAGACAGCUUACUGGACCAUUUCUGACGCUGAGACACGAAAGCUAGGGGAGCAAACAGG